Unclassified non-coding RNA from Dipodomys ordii (Ord's kangaroo rat), 290 nucleotides. Its record names the gene 7SK. It matches the Rfam family "7SK RNA". From Rfam's summary of the family: 7SK was discovered as an abundant small nuclear RNA in the mid-70s but a possible function has only recently been suggested. Lineage: Eukaryota; Metazoa; Chordata; Mammalia; Rodentia; Heteromyidae. The record is from Ensembl.
GUAAGGGCAAUCUGGCUACAACAUCUGUCACCUCAUUGAUCACCACGGUUGAUCUGGGUAUCUGGCCUGCUAGGCAGGUGUCCCCUUCCUCCCUUACCUGUGUGCCCCUCCUGAAGCUGCAUGCUUGGUUGAGGACGACCAUCCCAGCAUCUGAUCGAGGAGGACUGGUCUUUAGUCAAGGGUAUAUGAGUAGCUGUGUUCUGAUAGAACCUCCAAACAAGCUCUCAACAGAAGGGACAGGAGGGGAAAACAGAGAGAACACUGCCCAUAAAGAAAUGUAAUCUUUAUCU